This 843-nucleotide ribosomal RNA is filed under the name Salmonella enterica subsp. enterica serovar Enteritidis. RNAcentral's name for it is "partial 23S ribosomal RNA". It matches the Rfam family "Bacterial large subunit ribosomal RNA", at positions 1 to 887 of the family's 2925-position model. Lineage: Bacteria; Pseudomonadati; Pseudomonadota; Gammaproteobacteria; Enterobacterales; Enterobacteriaceae. The record is from RNAcentral.
GGUUAAGCGACUAAGCGUACACGGUGGAUGCCCUGGCAGUCAGAGGCGAUGAAGGGCGUGCUAAUCUGCGAUAAGCGCCGGUAAGGUGAUAUGAACCGUUAUAACCGGCGAUACCCGAAUGGGGAAACCCAGUGUGACUCGUCACACUAUCAUUAACUGAAUCCAUAGGUUAAUGAGGCGAACCGGGGGAACUGAAACAUCUAAGUACCCCGAGGAAAAGAAAUCAACCGAGAUUCCCCCAGUAGCGGCGAGCGAACGGGGAGGAGCCCAGAGCCUGAAUCAGCAUGUGUGUUAGUGGAAGCGUCUGGAAAGGCGCGCGAUACAGGGUGACAGCCCCGUACACAAAAGCGCAUGUGCUGUGAGCUCGAUGAGUAGGGCGGGACACGUGGUAUCCUGUCUGAAUAUGGGGGGACCAUCCUCCAAGGCUAAAUACUCCUGACUGACCGAUAGUGAACCAGUACCGUGAGGGAAAGGCGAAAAGAACCCCGGCGAGGGGAGUGAAAAAGAACCUGAAACCGUGUACGUACAAGCAGUGGGAGCACCCUUUGGGUGUGACUGCGUACCUUUUGUAUAAUGGGUCAGCGACUUAUAUUCUGUAGCAAGGUUAACCGAAUAGGGGAGCCGGAGGGAAACCGAGUCUUAACCGGGCGUUAAGUUGCAGGGUAUAGACCCGAAACCCGGUGAUCUAGCCAUGGGCAGGUUGAAGGUUGGGUAACACUAACUGGAGGACCGAACCGACUAAUGUUGAAAAAUUAGCGGAUGACCUGUGGCUGGGGGUGAAAGGCCAAUCAAACCGGGAGAUAGCUGGUUCUCCCCGAAAGCUAUUUAGGUAGCGCCUCGUGA